This 2787-nucleotide ribosomal RNA is filed under the name Escherichia coli. RNAcentral's name for it is "bacterial LSU rRNA". It matches the Rfam family "Bacterial large subunit ribosomal RNA". Lineage: Bacteria; Pseudomonadati; Pseudomonadota; Gammaproteobacteria; Enterobacterales; Enterobacteriaceae. The record is from RNAcentral.
AGCGUACACGGUGGAUGCCCUGGCAGUCAGAGGCGAUGAAGGACGUGCUAAUCUGCGAUAAGCGUCGGUAAGGUGAUAUGAACCGUUAUAACCGGCGAUUUCCGAAUGGGGAAACCCAGUGUGAUUCGUCACACUAUCAUUAACUGAAUCCAUAGGUUAAUGAGGCGAACCGGGGGAACUGAAACAUCUAAGUACCCCGAGGAAAAGAAAUCAACCGAGAUUCCCCCAGUAGCGGCGAGCGAACGGGGAGCAGCCCAGAGCCUGAAUCAGUGUGUGUGUUAGUGGAAGCGUCUGGAAAGGCGUGCGAUACAGGGUGACAGCCCCGUACACAAAAAUGCACAUGCUGUGAGCUCGAUGAGUAGGGCGGGACACGUGGUAUCCUGUCUGAAUAUGGGGGGACCAUCCUCCAAGGCUAAAUACUCCUGACUGACCGAUAGUGAACCAGUACCGUGAGGGAAAGGCGAAAAGAACCCCGGCGAGGGGAGUGAAAAAGAACCUGAAACCGUGUACGUACAAGCAGUGGGAGCACGCUUAGGCGUGUGACUGCGUACCUUUUGUAUAAUGGGUCAGCGACUUAUAUUCUGUAGCAAGGUUAACCGAAUAGGGGAGCCGAAGGGAAACCGAGUCUUAACUGGGCGUUAAGUUGCAGGGUAUAGACCCGAAACCCGGUGAUCUAGCCAUGGGCAGGUUGAAGGUUGGGUAACACUAACUGGAGGACCGAACCGACUAAUGUUGAAAAAUUAGCGGAUGACUUGUGGCUGGGGGUGAAAGGCCAAUCAAACCGGGAGAUAGCUGGUUCUCCCCGAAAGCUAUUUAGGUAGCGCCUCGUGAAUUCAUCUCCGGGGGUAGAGCACUGUUUCGGCAAGGGGGUCAUCCCGACUUACCAACCCGAUGCAAACUGCGAAUACCGGAGAAUGUUAUCACGGGAGACACACGGCGGGUGCUAACGUCCGUCGUGAAGAGGGAAACAACCCAGACCGCCAGCUAAGGUCCCAAAGUCAUGGUUAAGUGGGAAACGAUGUGGGAAGGCCCAGACAGCCAGGAUGUUGGCUUAGAAGCAGCCAUCAUUUAAAGAAAGCGUAAUAGCUCACUGGUCGAGUCGGCCUGCGCGGAAGAUGUAACGGGGCUAAACCAUGCACCGAAGCUGCGGCAGCGACGCUUAUGCGUUGUUGGGUAGGGGAGCGUUCUGUAAGCCUGCGAAGGUGUGCUGUGAGGCAUGCUGGAGGUAUCAGAAGUGCGAAUGCUGACAUAAGUAACGAUAAAGCGGGUGAAAAGCCCGCUCGCCGGAAGACCAAGGGUUCCUGUCCAACGUUAAUCGGGGCAGGGUGAGUCGACCCCUAAGGCGAGGCCGAAAGGCGUAGUCGAUGGGAAACAGGUUAAUAUUCCUGUACUUGGUGUUACUGCGAAGGGGGGACGGAGAAGGCUAUGUUGGCCGGGCGACGGUUGUCCCGGUUUAAGCGUGUAGGCUGGUUUUCCAGGCAAAUCCGGAAAAUCAAGGCUGAGGCGUGAUGACGAGGCACUACGGUGCUGAAGCAACAAAUGCCCUGCUUCCAGGAAAAGCCUCUAAGCAUCAGGUAACAUCAAAUCGUACCCCAAACCGACACAGGUGGUCAGGUAGAGAAUACCAAGGCGCUUGAGAGAACUCGGGUGAAGGAACUAGGCAAAAUGGUGCCGUAACUUCGGGAGAAGGCACGCUGAUAUGUAGGUGAAGUCCCUCGCGGAUGGAGCUGAAAUCAGUCGAAGAUACCAGCUGGCUGCAACUGUUUAUUAAAAACACAGCACUGUGCAAACACGAAAGUGGACGUAUACGGUGUGACGCCUGCCCGGUGCCGGAAGGUUAAUUGAUGGGGUCAGCGCAAGCGAAGCUCUUGAUCGAAGCCCCGGUAAACGGCGGCCGUAACUAUAACGGUCCUAAGGUAGCGAAAUUCCUUGUCGGGUAAGUUCCGACCUGCACGAAUGGCGUAAUGAUGGCCAGGCUGUCUCCACCCGAGACUCAGUGAAAUUGAACUCGCUGUGAAGAUGCAGUGUACCCGCGGCAAGACGGAAAGACCCCGUGAACCUUUACUAUAGCUUGACACUGAACAUUGAGCCUUGAUGUGUAGGAUAGGUGGGAGGCUUGGAAGUGUGGACGCCAGUCUGCAUGGAGCCGACCUUGAAAUACCACCCUUUAAUGUUUGAUGUUCUAACGUUGACCCGUAAUCCGGGUUGCGGACAGUGUCUGGUGGGUAGUUUGACUGGGGCGGUCUCCUCCUAAAGAGUAACGGAGGAGCACGAAGGUUGGCUAAUCCUGGUCGGACAUCAGGAGGUUAGUGCAAUGGCAUAAGCCAGCUUGACUGCGAGCGUGACGGCGCGAGCAGGUGCGAAAGCAGGUCAUAGUGAUCCGGUGGUUCUGAAUGGAAGGGCCAUCGCUCAACGGAUAAAAGGUACUCCGGGGAUAACAGGCUGAUACCGCCCAAGAGUUCAUAUCGACGGCGGUGUUUGGCACCUCGAUGUCGGCUCAUCACAUCCUGGGGCUGAAGUAGGUCCCAAGGGUAUGGCUGUUCGCCAUUUAAAGUGGUACGCGAGCUGGGUUUAGAACGUCGUGAGACAGUUCGGUCCCUAUCUGCCGUGGGCGCUGGAGAACUGAGGGGGGCUGCUCCUAGUACGAGAGGACCGGAGUGGACGCAUCACUGGUGUUCGGGUUGUCAUGCCAAUGGCACUGCCCGGUAGCUAAAUGCGGAAGAGAUAAGUGCUGAAAGCAUCUAAGCACGAAACUUGCCCCGAGAUGAGUUCUCCCUGACUCCUUGA